This 20692-nucleotide long non-coding RNA is filed under the name Cucumis sativus (cucumber). RNAcentral's name for it is "long non-coding RNA (CSAT_LNC000878)". The record is from RNAcentral. Lineage: Eukaryota; Viridiplantae; Streptophyta; Magnoliopsida; Cucurbitales; Cucurbitaceae.
CCAAAUCAACAUCCGCCGGCUACUAAACACUUUAAGCAUCUGCAACUUCCGGUGACUCUCCCGCCGCCAGUAGCAACUCUUCCUCUUCAAGUCCAACCUUUCUUUCUCCCAUCUCUCCUUCAUCCCCAAUGCUGUUCGCCUCUCCCAAUGACUUUAGUGCCAAGUGUGCUGCCUUCUGCCCUGAUAUCAUCAUCGCCCCGAACGUUGGCCCCUAUGAAUGGCACAGUUUAAGACUAAUAAAUAUGGGUAUAACGAAAUCUUUCGGUGGUAGCAUCUAAUGCAGAUAGCUACCGGAGUAAACAAGUUAGUAGUGAUAGACCCAGAUAAACUCUGAAAAGUGUAAACUCAUCUAAAUGCUGCUAUAUUUUACUGUAUCAUGAUUAUUAAACGGUCUAAAGCAAUAAUCUCUCUCUAGUUAAUUUGUUUACCAUUCUUGGAGCUCCAUCGAUCUCCGCAACCUCCAUGCCGGUGACAAUCAUGCCAGGAACGACCUCUCGAGUGAAUCGAACAAUGGCAUCCUCAGCAGUGUUCAUGUCAAGGGCCUUCAUUCCCGGGACACUAUCAAUCAUGCCGAUGCUCUUGAGGCGCUUGACUCCGGUAGCGCCAAAAGGUCCAUCGUGGCCACAAGAGCUCACAACCACCUUAGCCUCCAUCACAUUGGGGUCCAUGCAGGACUGCGUGUCAUGGUUCAUUGACACAAGAGCCCAGUUGGUGACAACACCGCCAACUCUGCCGCCCUUGACAAUCAAAUCCUCUGCCGCCACGGCGUUGAACAGCUUCACGUUCGGCCGGGCCAAGAGCUUGCUCAUGAUCGUCGACGUGAACAGAGCCGCGUGCUUUAUCACGACAUAGUCGUCUUGCUCGUCAUACUCCACACCCACCUCAUCCAAGAACAAAUGAGCUGGCUUACGAACCACCUAUCAAACAUUAAAUUUAACCAACAUCAAUCAGAUGAACAAGAUCAGAAUAUUUGUCUGCGAUGAAAAUUAAUCUAAUUUUUUAGGGGAUCACAAGAUCUGUAAACUAUUUCCCCUCAAAUUAAUGAUUAUGAUAUUAGUUUCUGGGUUUCUUUAUUUCUGAUCUCUAUUAAAAAGAAAUGAUUUUUUUUAGUCCAAAUACGGCAUGCAUGAAAGCUGAUUGGGUGAUUUUCAAAAUUUUGGUAUUUUCAAGAAAAGAACAAAACAUAAAAUAAAAACAGAGCAUCCAUUCAAAUUUGGAAAGUGAACUUGUUACCAUAGCAGAGAAGAGUUGGCCGCCGAGCCAUGCACCGCCACCGGGGCUGACGGAUUGUUCGAUGAUGGCAAUACGAAUAUUGGGGUUUUUGCUGAGUUCGUAAGCGCAAGAGAGGCCGGCGGAGCCAGCGCCGACGAUGACAACGUCAGUAUCAGCGUAGGUGAUCAUAUCGGUCAUGUAUCGACGGGUCAUCUCUCGAGAGACAAUAGAUUCUCUGAUAGGGUUGAAUUUGAAUUGGUUUAAAUCGUAGGGAGGCUGAGAGGCGGAGGCAGAGAUGGUGAGGGACGUGGCGGCGGUGGAUUUGAGGCGGAGAGAAGAAGGAGAGGCGAGAGGUGUGCCAUGGAAAGAGGAAUCAUGAAGUAAAGAAGGUUUUUGGAGCUUGGUGGUGAGAGUGGAGGCAAUGGAAGCCAUUUUUGAAGCAGAGGAAAACAGAGGAGAUUGUAGUUUGGUGUGGGGAAGAAGAGGGGAAGGAAGAAGGGUUUUAUAGAGGAUAUUGAAGAAUGUAACAAUAUCUUACACGCUUGCAUGUAUGAUGCAUACAUUACCUAUGCAUGUAUUUCAAACAUUGAUGCAUAUAAUCGAGAUUUUCAUUUAUCCAUGUAUUUCUCUUUUUACUUUUUUUAACAUAUGAUAUAUUAAACAUAGGUUUAGCAAUAAGUAACUAAAAUUAGUGUUAUUGUAAUAAAAUUACAUUAAUUUUGAUCAUAUUUACUUACACAUUUUACAAAUGUCUUAUCCAAAUAGUUCACUUUAUGUUGUCUUCUUACUAUUGCUCUUAUUAUCAAGGGUCAACAUAUUUAUAAUUCUCUUCUUCUAAUAGUAACACCAUAAUAUCCCCUAAUGAGUUGCAUGUAAUUUCAAAUGCAUUUAGAGAUUGGUCAUCUUAUCUCUAUAAUUAGAUUGCAUUACAAAUUUGUUUGUGAGGACACCAUUUUUUCUACAAUUACAGAAUAAAUGUAAACAACAAACCUAAUUAAAUGAGACACCCUUUUCAAAUUCUCGUUUGAUUGGUUACAUUUUCCGAGUGUAUAGUCACUCUAAUUUUAUACUGUUGCAACCAAUCCAAAACCAAAUCAAAUUAAUUGACUUUAUUAAAUAGAGAACCAAAGAUGCCCAAUAGAAGAUAGAAUCUUUUUUUUUUUUUUUUUUUUUUUUUGGGUUUCUAACCAAUGGAGUCUUCUUUUCUUUCAACUUUUACUUUGAAUGGGUUACCUUUUUUUACCAUUUUUAUAGAUAAUUAUGAAAAAAGAAGUAUCCAUUGGCAUAAUAUUUGAGUUUAUUAUCACUACAGUUUUCAAGCGAUACGCUUUCUAUCCAAAUUGAAAUGGUUGGAUUUUGAUUGAUUUCUUGAUAAAAGUUCAAACCAAAAGAAUAAACUUUUUUAUUAUCUCUAAAUAAUAAAAAAAAAAAAACCCCAAUCAAAACAAGAAAUGAACUUGAUUGAAUUUGAAUUUGUUUUGUUUUUAUUUUCUUGAACUCGAGUGUAAGGAGUAUCCAAAAAUUAGGGUAAGAAAAGUUCAAAUAUUUGUUAAGUUGGGAAGAGAGAAAAUAUCUGGAAGGGGACACGUGGGAAGAAGAUAGGAAAUGAAGGGCUGAGAAUGAGGUGAUGGUGUUGGACACGCGGCAUCCAUGGCAGCCAUUUGUUAUUUCUUUUCUUUUUCUUUUGCCAAAAUGAGAUUUUUUUUUUUCUUUUUCCCAAUAAUAUGAUAUGUUUGUUGAUUUGCAAAAUAUGGAUUUGUGAUUGUGAAUCAUGAUAUGUCCGUUUCUUUCGUCAAGAUAUUUCACAUAAUCUUGUAAAAGAAAGAGAUGUUUAUAUAUAGGCCACUCAUUUUGCUUUUUACUCUUUAAACCAUUGCUACACAUUUUAAUGCGUCUUUUCAAAUAAUAAUAUUUAUGUUUAUUAAUCAUUGAUAUUUUUUUGUAUCUACUUUAAACAAGAUUAAGUAUAGAGAAAAUACAUUUACAUAAGGAAAUAUUUACAAAUUAGGAUCUAAAUGUAUUCUAUUUCCCUAAUUUAAACAACUAUAUAAUUUACGAUCACACUCUUUCUCAAACUCAAGGCGGUAAUGUAGCAAUCAACUUGAGUUUGUUAACCAAUUGAAGAAAAUGGCUAGAAGCCAAAGCUUUAAUGAAGAUAUCAACUGGUUGUUCAGUGUCGAAAUGGAGUGUAAGAGAAGAUUGGUGCUUCGAAGAUUAUGACAAACAAAAUGAUAAUCGUUUUUAAUAUGGUGGGUACUCUCGUGGAAGACAUCAUUGUGAACAAUAUGCAUGGUAUUAUAAUUAUGUCUUUAUACCCUUCUCUCGGCUCAAGCCUUUACCACACUCUUUUGUCAAGUUGCAGUUGUGCAGAGAAAUCUCAACGCACUUAGUAGUUACUAUGAAUUUCACUACGCAUAAUGUGUCUUCCAAUGCUAGAUCACAUAAAACGCAAAGGGUAUUCUAUACCAAAUCACAUAGUAGGUAUGAGAGACAUUUCAUACUAGAUCACACAACAAGUAUGAGUCAUCCUAUUCAAUAUCACACAAUAUGAAUAGGGCAUUAUACUCCAGAUCACACACUAGAAAUAGGGCAUCUCAUCUUAGAUCACACAGCAAGGACAAAACAUUCUAUCGCAUAGGGUACAAAAAUUAUCUUUUUCUAGGAAACAUUGAUUUCUCAUUUUCAUGUAAUACUAGCAUCAUCAAUAGCACAUGCCACAUAGUUUAACGUAAUUGCCUUAAAGGGACUUAAAGAGAUUGUUUUCAAGCAUUUCUUUUCAUUUGAAGGUUAUUCGAUAAGAUACUUUAUUAUGUACUCAAUCACCUUUUAUUAGUUUCAUAAUGAACCAAAUUCAUACAUAAGUCACACAUGUUUAUGGGAGUUGAAAAAGUAUAAGGAAAUCCAUGUAAACAAAUUUGUAAUAACGAUAGUUUUAAGGGUUCAAACAUAUUAGAAAUCCCUUUAUAUAUUUGAAAACAUUUGCAAGGGAGGAAAACCACUCACUGCUGCAGUGAGCUAGCUCUUCCUUCUAGCUUCCUUGACCAAGAGUUCUCCUGUGCUUUUCAGAUUCCUUGAAGGAAUGAGUUUUUCCUGCACCUUGAGACUUUGGUUAUCCUCCCCGUUCUCUCUUAAGAAACUUAAGGUAAAAACGUCUUCAGUUCGGUCUAAAAUCCUCAAUUUAUAUGUCUCUCUGGUGAAUUUUUUCAUGUCGAAAUGAUUACGCUUUACCGACGGUGAGGAGUGGCCUAAUCUCGAAAUGCCAUGUAUCUCUGUCCAAUCCUUAUCCUGAUCUAGAUUGGGUGGCGAGUCCAAUCAAUCAUCGACCUACUAACAUUAGGGUCACAUCACUGUUUCUUGAUGAGGUAGGUCAGAAUUGUCCAACUGUUCGACGCAUAACCUUCUUUGCAUGGGGACUUUCUAUUGCAUGAUCCUUUAGCGAGGCAUGGUUUACUAUCAGAAGUCUCUUUGCAAAACAUUCUUACCGCAAGGGAUUCCUUGUAUUGGGGGUACGCAAUCAGGGCCUUACACGCGAUUAGACAUUUUCCUUUAAAACACUAACCUUAUCUUCUUGGAGUGCUCAAUUCUUUAUCGCUUGACUCUCUUCUCGAAAAACAAUAGAACAUUUACUUUACCUCAUACGGUUGUCUAGUCAUCUCAUACAAACAUCCAUCCUUUCAAUAGAACACCUACUUCAUCGCAACAACACUUAGGUGCAAACACUUCUCCUCGAGUUACUACAUAGGACAUCUAGUUCUUUGCGUUAAAUGCAUGUUUCUUCUUUCCUAGCUAAUCAUCGCCUUGCUUCAAGGCAAUAGUUACUAUAAGUAUCUCUCGUUGUGUCACCUCUCCUUAAAGGCACCCUUCAUCGCAUAAUGCUUUUUACUUACAUUUAACUAAAAUGACUCUUAUUAACAGGGCUCCUCUUCAACAUGACUCACUUUCUCCAGAUUAGAGCCUCAAGUGGACUAUUGAGGUACUCUCAUAUCCGUAAGGAUCCAUGGAAGUCAUGAUAGUUAUAAAGUAGCAUUAGCAGAAGCCCAAUAUUAUGAUUUAGUGCUGGAAAAGAAGACAACAUUUUGCUUUUUACCCUACCAUGAUAUUAUGGGAUUACUUAAAUAGAAGGAAUAAAUGAUGGUGGAGUGUCGAUCAUUAGGAUCAUCAACCCAAUCAACAUCAAAGUACCCAGAUAACACCAGAGGUGUCGAGAAGAGAAAUGAAAUCUAUGUCUCAAAGUACCUUUGAGGUAGUGAAAAAUGUUCCAUCAACUUACUAACAAUGUGCACAACAUAUGCAACGUUAGGACGAAUCACUAUCAGAUAAAUGAGGAUGCCAAUAAGUUGCCUCUAAAGAUUGAUAUCAUCAAGAGGAAUACCCUCUUACGGUGUCAAGUGGACAUUGGGAUCAAGAAGUGUUGGUGUCUUGAUGGAGUAAAUGAUACGGAGCAGGCUAAUAGAUCAGAGACAUUUGGCUUGAGAAAACAAGUAACCAUCAAGACAUGUUGAUACCUCAAAAACAAGAAAGUAAUUAAGAGAGUUUAAGUCUUUCAUUUGAAUAACUAAGAUCAUGAUAUCUACCGUUGCAACACUAAGAUAGCCCGAGGAUCAUCACCACUGAUAAUCUUGUCCAAUACCAUGAAGAAAAAUUAGAGAAUUUAUGACGGAAGAGUUUACAAGUUUUUUUUUACAAAAUGUAGUUCCAAAUUAUUGUAUGAAUAAGUGCUUGCGAAAAGAACUUCUAAUUUUUUGGAGGGAAAGCCGUUUUCUUCAAAUAAGAUGUCUUGAAACUUGUGGUUUGUUAACAACAAACAUAUUAUAUUUACAUAGUAAAGUUUUUAAAAGGUUAUUAAAUAAAAUUGUUAUUGAACAUGAAUGAAUUGCUUAUUUCAUAAUAGAAAACCAUAAAUCUAAUAAACUAAGAUCUAUGGUUAUGAGUACGAGUACUUGAACUUUAUGUAAUAAUGUAAGAAACUCCCAAUGAAGUGAGAACUAUGUUGGGUGUUGGCCUCAUCUUCUAACGGGAGAAGUCGUCCAGAAAUGGAUUGUGAAAUUUGUGAUGGAGACAACUCCCAAUGAGCCAAAGGAUGCCAUUGGGAACUCGUCCCAACCCUCGACGACAUUCAUUAAUAAGGCGAAGAUGAUAUGAACUGAUUUUGGCUUGAUCCAGGUAGGUCCAAAAUGCUAGAUAUUUAUUAAUUGAUUAACUAGUUUCUUGAUUGAGUCUAAUGAGUACUGUGUAACUAAUAGUAAUAGUAAUGAACCAAUCCUAUAGAUUAAAAUCAAGUAGGUUUUGCAUGAAAAUCCCAUAAUUUUAUAACAUUAUCAAAAGCUUUGAGUUGAAAAUGGAUAGUAGGAAUAGAUAUGUUAUCAAUCCAAGUGAUAAUUUGGUGAUUCUUACUGUCUCAAUCUUUUCGUCAUUUAACAAACAUACUAUCAUCUUUCUUGUCCAAUGUAGUUUGUUUAGCAACAUCACCAAUGAAAAUUUUCCGUAGUCUAUGUUCAAUUAAAAAAAAUUCGUUUGAUGGGUUCAUGCAUUUAAGAUAAUUGGUCCCAUCAACAACAGUACUAAUAGAACAAAAAAUGUGAUUUUUUUCAUUAAGGACUGAACAUAAAUUAACCACCAAAAUACACAACAAGAUUGAAAACAAACAAAUCUAAGUUAAAUCACAACGAGCAGAGACUAAAGUGCCAAUGAUCAGAAUAGGUGCAGGACCAGUUAGAAGCUGGAAUGAGUAGACGUAGAAUAUGUUUAGAUAGUUAUGAUAUAUUAUUUAAUUUAAACACCAGGUGUUUGUGAUUAUAUUUAUUUUUUCACUGAAAAGACACCAUCAUAUGAUUGGAGAUAUUUUCUUUUCACUUAUAUACAAUCAAUUAAUGAAUGAAAAAUAUGGUGUUAAUUAACAAGGUAUUAGUUGUGAAGUAUUAAAUAAUGGUAAAAAUUGAAACAAAUUUGUUUUGUAUUUUGGUAGAAGAGAUAUUAUUAAAUUGAGAAGGGGUAUAUCUGCUAUCACAGUCAUGAAAAAGAGAGAAAUUAAAGUGGCGAUGGGUAGCUACAUCACAUCUCAACUUGCUCCCCUCCAUCCACUAUUUUUCGUCUUCUUUCUUCUUCGACGUGAGGAUGAACUAUCAUUGGAUUUAGAGGUGGUCCAUACAACUUCAAGAUUUUUUUGGUACCAAAAUCACUUUAUAAAUUAUAGUCUAAACCAUGUUACUCUACUUUUUUUUUUUUUUCUAACAUCUCCCUCCUUUCAACAAUAUUUUUAUUGUAUCUUACAAAAAUAUAGAAGAAUAAAAUAUCACUAAUCUACUUACAAUAUAAAUAUAAUAGACAAUAGAUAUGUAACGAAAUAUUUAUGGAGAAUUAUUGUCAAUUGCAAACGUUGUGAAAAUAUUUAGAAAGUUUAGCAAGAUCUAUAUGUGAGAUUUUUCUAUAUUUUUUAAGUAUUUUUAUUUAUUUUGCUAUAUUUGAAAUGAAUACAAGGUUUAUUUAGUGAUUUAAAUUAAAUUUUUUUAUUUUUAUAGUUUUUCUAGAAAUGUUCAACCAUAUAGACUAAAUUUAUGUAAAAUUAGCACUUUCAUAUUUUUGUAGAUAUCAACAUUUUAAUCCUUCAUUUUAAGCAUGAGAUUUAACUAAUCAUGUAUCUAUAUUUUAUUAUUUUAUGUUCUAUUUUAGAUUUGUACUCUCUUCUGCAUUUUCAAUAAAUCAUAAAUUAGUCCUAGUUUACUAUAGUAAAGCUAAUUUUUUUAAAAAAUAAUAUAGCAAAAAAAAAUUCUCUAACCAAUGCAAAAAAAUCCAAAAUAUCUAGCUUACUUCUCUCAACCAUGAUCAUUGUCAAUACCUAAUAGACAUUGAUAGUCUAUUAUUACUAUUUAUGAUAGUCUAUUACUCUAGAGUGUCUAUAACUGAAUAGUUGGUUGUUAAUAAGAAAGUUGAUGAUGAUUGUUCUUAAUCUUAUGCUCCUUAAUUUGGUUUUAAGGAAUUAGUUGUCAUUUAAUAUUUAUUGAAAAUAUAUAUUGUUAUUGGGAGAGAGCAAUUUUGAAAGUAUUCUCUAGACUUAAGCAUAUUAAUUUCUUCUUACUCGAAAAGAUAAAAGAAAACAUGUGUAUUUGAAUUAUCUUAAAAACAUUAAGAUCUAGGGAUUAAAAGAAUGCAAGAGCUUGCAUUGAUGGUGGUACACAUGUGUUCCCUACACCUCAAAAUCAACCAUCAUCUCAAGUAGCUCAAAAGGAAAUUAAAGGUCGAAGCUAUAGAGUAGCAAGAAGGAGCUGAGUAUUAAAUCAUUUUGGGUUGUAUAUAUACAUAAUAGAAAUCACUCCAACUCAAUUCAGAAGACGUUUGAAACCAAGAAUUUCUAACCUAAAUUUCAUUAGCUUAUUUGACAUCAUUAGUCCGCCAUCUAAAGUCAUGGCUUAUUCAUCUAUAAAUAUAAGCUACCUACAACUUUUGAGUUGUAUAACAAAAUUUUAAGAGAUUAAGGGAUCAAGUUUAGAGAUUAAAAUUGAAUAUUUUUUAAAGUUUAGAGACCAAACUAAAAUAAGAUUCAAAGUUCAAUAGGGGAAUAUCAAAUUUAAACCAAACUAAAUACGUUUUUUACAUACUGAUUUGUAUUUAUUUUUUAAAUAACCAAAACAUUUUCAUAGUGGGUUUGAUGUAAACCAAAUUGGAGAGUUUUACUAAUGUUUAAAAGUUGUUAAUAUAAGAAGAAAAGUACUCUAUUUAUAGCAAACUGUUAAAUGAAAAUUUUGAGUAAACAAGUAUUUACUAUUAUUUUAUUCAACACAUACAUUUCCACAUUGCUAAGAAGUCUCCUUUAUAAACUCAUAGAUCCGCUCAUGGGUUUGGGCCCUAAAGACACUCAAGUUUUGGAAGGAGUGAGUAGAUAGUUAAAUGUAGAUAUGCUUAUAUCUCCACGUGCACCACCACUGCCGUCUGUCGAGUGAGGCGAGGAGGAAUAAAAUAAUAAUAUAUAUAAUUUUUGGUAAAUUAAACACUUUCCAAAGUCGAAAUAAUAUCCAAAUUAAAUGGUAUUUAUCAAUCAAUUUUCUUUUGUGUUUUAUAACCAUUGGUUGCCUCCACACUCACUAUAUAUAUCAAUCUAAUUCUUCUCUUCAAUAUACAGAAAUUAUAUAUAUUAAUGAUGAAUUGGACUCUCUUGAAUUCAAUAGAACUUGGCACCUAGUUGACUUACCUGACCUUAGCUGCAAAGCAAUAGACUGUAAAUGGAUUUUAAGGAAGAAACUCAAACCUGAUAGAUCAAUAUAUAAGUAUAAGGCUAGACUAGUAGCAAAAGGUUUUAGGCAGAGGAAAAACAUAGAUUUCUUUGACACCUUCUCUCCAACCACUGAUUUCUAUAGUUUUCAUUAACAAUCUCUUAAUACAUCAAAUGGAUGUUAAAAACUGCUUUCCCUAAAUGAUGAUUUAGAAGAAGAGAUUUAUAUGGAACAACCUUAAGAUUUCAUAGUUCACCGUUAAGAAUCUAAAGUUUAUAAAUUAGAUAAAUCCUUCUAUGGCCUAAAACAAGCUCCUACGCAAUGACACGAAAAGUUUGACAACUUAAUCAUUUCCAAAGGAUUCAAAAAAAUGAGAGUGACAAAUGUAUUUACUAUACGACUGAAGAUAGAUUAUGCACUAUCAUAUACUUAUACGUAGAUGACAUGUUAAUAUUUGGAUCAAACCUACACGUCAUAAAUUAUGUAAAAUCAAUGUUGAGCACAAACUUUGACAUGAAAGACUUAUAAGAAGAUAAUGUGAUCCUAGACAUCAAAAUUACCAUAACUAAAAAUGAAAUGUUCUUAGAUCAAUCUUAUUACAUAAAAAAGAUCCUAAAGAAGUACAAAUACUUCGAAAGCAAACCAGCUUGUACACCCUAUGACUCUAGUGUUAAAUUGUUCAAAAACACUGCUGGCAGUGUUAACCUAUCAGAGUACGCUAGUAUCAUAGGUAGUUUGAGGUAUGCUGUUGAUUGCACUAGACCAUACGUAACUUACGCUGUAGGAUUACUAUGUAGGUUUACCAGCAAAUCUAGUCUAGAACAUUGGAAUGCUAUAGAAAGAGUAAUGAGAUAUCUUAAGAAAAUACAAAAUAUAAGAUUACAUUAUCAAAAGUUUCCCGCUAUACUUGAAGGUUACAACAAUGUUGAUUGAAACUUUCUCUUAGAUGACUCAAAGGGUACAAGUGGCUAUAUUUUUAAUAUAGCAGGAGAAACUGUUGCUUGAAAAUCCAAGAAACAAACAAUAUUAGCCUAGUCAACGAUAAAGUUAGAGAUGAUAGAACUAGCUACUGCUAGUGAAGGAGCAAACUUGCUAUAAGAGAUUCCCACACGGGAAAGAUUGGUACCGGCAAUACUAAUCCAUUGUGAUAGUACUACAACUAUCGCAAAAGUUCAGAAUCAUUAUUAUAACAGUAAGAGACGACAUAUACGUCGUAAACACAUUAUCAUUAGAGAUUUUCUCACUACUGGUGCAGUGAUAAUAGAUUAUGUUCGAUCUGAUGACAACUUGGCUGAUUCUUUGACGAAAGGACUAGCAAGAGAGAAGGUCUUUAAAACGUCAGAAAGAAUGAGACUCAAAAUUUAUAGAAAAUUUAAUUACUUGUGAGGUAAACCCAACUUGAAAGACUGAUCCCAAGAAACAAGUUUAAUGGGUAAUAACUGAUCACAAGCAAUAUGAUGAAAAUCAUGCUAAAAUAUUAGAAGUUCCAUUCUUAUGAUUGAAUAAUUAGCAUGACAUCCUGAAGUGUAUGAGAAGGCUAAACUUUGUUCUUAAUGAAAUAUAUACUUGAUAUCAAGUAAGGUACCUAGCUACAUAAGUACUCUUGAUAGCUUCACCUUUGUGAAUGUGGAAGUGAGAGUUGCUUCCUUUGGAAUUUUGGACAAAUUCCUAGAACAUUCACUAAACCGGGUUAUACGUGCAAGGCCAUAAAUCACAAGCUAUUUUAGAACUUCACUCGAAUAAUGUUGUGUGGACAAUAGUAUUAGAAGUAAAGUUCAAAACUACAAGUUACUUUACAAUACUCUAAACUGUUGUCACUACUUAAAGGUUCAAGUCAUUAGACACCUUUACUUAAGCACAAUAUUAUAGAGAUAGACACUGAUCGAUGGAAACGUUUUAAAACAAUUUCAAGUGGGGGACUGAUAGUAUGAAUAUUUCAAGUGGAAAAUUGUUAAAUGAAAAUUUUGAGUAAGCAAAUAUUUAUUAUUAAUUUAUUCAACACAUGCAUUCCUGCUAGUAAUGUGGAUGUCUACUUUGUAAACUCAUAGAUCCAUUUAUGGGUUUAGACCCUAAGGGCACCCAAGUUUUGGAAGGGGUGAGGAGAUAGGAAAAUAUAGAUAUACUUAUAUCUCCACGUAUGCGCACCCCGCCAUUGUUGGGUGUGGAGGAAUAAUAUAAUAAUAAUAUAUACUUUUUCUAAACUGUUUUCUUAUUAUAAACAUUUUUGGUAAAUUAAACACUUUCUAAAACUGAAACCGUAUUCAAAUUAAAUGGUAUUUAUCAAUCAAUUUUAUUUUGUGUUUUAUGAUCGUUGGUUGCCUCCAAAUUUACUAUAUAUAUGAGUCUCAUUCUUCUCUUCAAUAUACAGAAACGAUUUCUCUCCCAAAAAAUUUCUUCUGAGCAUAUGAGUGUUUAUCUGAGUGUUGUGAAUUCUGAUUAGUUUUGAUAUAAAACUAAUUGAAGAACGAUGUAUUUUAUCAUGGGGACGUCGAGGCAAUCAAACUGUUUUGGACAAAGGAGCAGAGACGCAAAACGUCUUAAAGAGAGCGAGAUUCGCGACUCAACCAUUUUCUCAAAAGUUUUUGUUUUGUAGUUUGCGUUUUGACCAAGCGUUUGACCACUAGGCGUUUUGAUCAAUUGGCGAGAUAGUCAGUAAGCGAGAUAAGUUGAGGAGGUGAUAACUAGGCGACUUGGUCAGACGAGAUACCAGUACAUUACACGAGAUACAAGGCAAAGAAGCACGCAUUUUGUCUAGACAUUUUGCCUAGGCGUUAAGACUUCUCAUUGCAUCACUCCUUCGAGUCAAAAAGCAACAACACAAACUAAUCCUAAUCCUAAUUAAUAAAAGAAACUAAUCUUUAAUCCUAAUAAAUAAAAGAAACUAAGCCUAAUCCUAAUAGAUUAAGGAUUUUAUCAUAAUAUCCUAUUCCUACUACAUCAUUCUAUAAAAAAAAAAACUCGUCCUUAAGUUUUAAAAUGAAAAUGAAUGUGAAAAUAAUAAGUAAACUAGUCGAAUAAUAUCCCAAUUUUGUGAUACCUAACAAUCAAUUCUAGAACUAAUACGAUAAAGAAGAACUCCAUUGUCAAAGAAUAUGCAGAUUUAUCAAAAAAAUAAACUAUCACUCAUUUUGUAACUGUGAUGAAAGUUCAAUUGUGGUUGAGUUUUUAAUUCUUCAAUAGGUUUCAAUUUGGGUCAAAUAGAUUAUAGUAAGAGAUAACGCGUAAAUAGCAAAAUAGUAAAUAACAAACUAAAAUGUAGCAAAUUUAAGAAAUAUUAAGAUUUAUAUCAAAAACGCCGGUUGCUGAUUUUUUUUUUUUUACUUUUUUAUACCCAAUUAUACUCUUUUAUAUAAGACAGUUUAUUUCUCACAUAUAUACAAUGUAUUUGAAUAGAUCAAAAAAUGAGACAGAAGAUCACAGAUUCACUAGCACAAUGUAUUUGUUAACAACAUUCAACUUUGGUAAGUCUUAACUAAAUAUGAUAUUUUAUUGCUGAAGAAGAUUGCACUAACAUCUCUUAAAAAAUAUGGCUGUAAUUUCUUUUAGAUUUUCGGAUGCUUAGCAUUUAAAUCAAUCAAUUAACAAUUUAUUUCUAUAAUUCAUAAUAGAUAUAUUUAAUAACGAUUUGAAUUCAAAUUUUGGAUAAUACCCCUAAAAUAAUAGUAAAGAUAAAUUCAAUAAUUUGGAUUCUUUAUAUUUCAUACUAUUUAUCAAAAUUUUAUUAAAUAAUAUAUAAUACAUAUUUUUAAUAACAAUUUAAAUUCAGAUUUUAUACCAUCCGCUAAAAUUGUCAAUUUGAAUUUAAAUGUUACAUAAUAUCCCUAAAAUAUUGGCGAGGAAAAAUUCUUAAUAACAAUUUGAAUUUAAAAAUUAAAAUUAAAAUUGUUUAAUUUAAAAUUUAACAACUUAUAUUUAAAAAAAUAUAUAAAACAUUUAUUAAAUAAUACAUGAUACAUAUUUUUAAGGGGAAUUUUUAAAAUAGUAGAUUUUACAAAAUAUUUACAGCUAUAGAAAAUUAUAAUUCUAUCACUCAUAGUCAUUUACAAAAUUUUGUUAUAGCUCAUAAAUAUUUUAAUUUAUUUUGUUAUUUUAAAAAAUGCUUCUAUUUUUAAUAAUAGUUUGAAUUUUAAAAAAAUUAUUCGUGAUAAUUUCUAUUAUCAACUUAUUUUGGUUGAUUUUUAAUAACAAUUUAAAUUUAAAUUUUACAUCAACCCUCUAAAAUAAUGUAAAAAAUGAAUACACCAUUUUUAGGAUUUUUAUAUUCCAAACAAUUUAAUAAUAUUUUAAAUUCAAAUUUUAGAUCCCAAAAUAAUGCCAAUUACGAUUGUCCAUUUAUUUUUACCAAUUUGAUAACAACUUCAAUUUUCUUAAUUUAACCAAAUCAAUUUAAUUUAUUUUUACCAAUUUGAUAAGAACUUCAAUUUUCUUAAUUUAACCAAAUUGAUUUAUUGGUUAAGUUGGUCAGGUUUGAUUGUGUUGAUUUUCUAUAGAGUUACAAUGUACUUAUACAUACUUUCUAGAUUAGUUUCACAAUAUUUGACAUAAUGUAUAGCAUAUGUUGCUCACAAAAUUACAAUGUAAUUUUAUGCUUUUAAAUAAUGUGAUAAACUAGUCGUUCUAUAUUACGAUCACAUGUUCAAAUAUUAAUAUUUAUUUGCUCCUAUAAUAAUGUACUUUUGCAAUUCAAAACAGUUACCAUUAUAAUAAUGUACUUUUAAUUAAUGCGAUAAACUAGUCGUUCUAUAUCACGAUCACACGUUCAAAUAUUAAUAUUUAUUUGCUCCUAUAACCAUGUACUUUUGCAAUCCAAAAAAGUUACCAUUAAGAUAAUUUGUUACAAAACCAACAAUAAGAACUAUUUCCUAAAUAUUGACAUUGAAUCAUAAUCAUGGUUGUUUAAUUAACCGAACUUUAUAAUAACCCAUAGAAUUAAGAUUUUCCAAACAUAGUAUAUGUUGAGUAUGAAUGAUGUUAUAAACAACAAACUUGGGACACAAACAAAAAGUAAAAUUUUGGUCAUCAAGAUAUAGUAUCAUUCCAUUGGGUAUAAGAUAAUCAGAUAUUUCAAAUAGAGUGUAUUUGAAUAGCUCAAAAAAAGAGACAGGAUAUUAAAAAUAGCACGAAAACAAUGUAUUUUGCAAACAACAUUCAAAUUUGGUAGACUUAACUAAAUCUGUUAUUUUGUUGCUCGACAAGAUUGCAGCAACCUCUCCUAUAAUAAUGACAAAUAUAUCUACCAGAUUUUGAGGUUUGUUAUAUUUUAAACCAUUUAUUAGUAAUAUCAGUAAUUAUUACAAUUUCUUAAAUGACCUUAAAUAUAUUUUUUCCUCUCCCUUGUUUCUUUACCAAUUCAUUAAGCAUUAUAUCUUGUAAGUUAAUCACUAAGGAUAGUUUAAUUUUAACAAAUCACCAAUCUUAAAGACAUUUAAGUUGAAAAAUAAAUACUUCCAAAAUAUGUGUUGUUAAUAACAAUUUGAAUUUAAAAUUUUAUCAACCUUAAAUUCGUGGUUGAUGUCCCAAAAUAAUGGAAAACAUAAAUUCAACAUUUUUGGAUUAUUUAUAUUUUAAAAUAUUUAUAAAAAUUUGAAUUUAAAUACCUCAACAAUACAUAUUGUUAAUAACAAUUUGAAUUUAAAAUUUUAUGAUCCCCUAAAAUCAUGCUAAUUGGUUGGUUUUUAUUUUAAAAAACUAUUUUAUCGUGCAAAUUGCAUUGAAUAACUAUGUUGAGACAUUGUGUUUUUAAAUUACGUUAAUAUUCAUGUUUAUCUUCGUUAGAUGUUUUCUUUUUUGUGUUACAGUUUUUGUCAAAAGCUUUCAAAAUGGCUUUUAUGUUUAGGACAGAAUUGUAAUUAUACUUCAUCUCCUUCUUUAGGUCUUAUAAAUUAGAGAAAAGAAAAGAAGUAGGACAAAUAAGAAGAGGGGGCUGCAAGCUAAAAAAACACAGUAGAGAGAGUUUUUUCUAGCAAAAAAGAUUGAUAGAGAAGAGUGCAGUGCGGCGAUUUUCGGUGUUCCAACAUAAAGAGAGACGUUGGUCGACCGAGAGGAAGACGUCAGAGGUUUAGCCAUUGGGUUUUGAGGCAGACAAAAGCUAACGAUUUUGUGGCUUUACAACGGCUACAACGUUUGUUUCGAUAGCUUCGCGAUGGGUUUAACGACUGGUUAACUAUGGUUUUCGAGCUGACAGAGGUUGGUUUAGUCGUGGGUUCUUCUUGGGGCAAUCGACGCAAGUGACAAACAUAGUGAGAGAGAGUUUUUGUGCAAACAAGAGAGGAGAAAAGUACAAUCAACAAAGAGGAAAACAUCACAGUUUCAACGUCAAUGGCGAGAUGAACAUCUCAAAGUCUUUGGUCGGAGGAGGCGGCAAGAUGAAAAUCCUAAAGUCUCCAGUCAGAGGAGCCAACAAGAAGAAAAUCCAAGUAUGAAAACUUUGAUGGGUUUAAAGGAGACGAGUUGGAAGCUCCAAUAGAUUUUGAAAAAGUUUGAUUUUGAUAGGUGUUAAUUGUGUAUUGGGAGUUUGAUUUUAAUAAUUGGGUAUUUAUGGUUCUUUUAAUAAUUGUAUUUAUGAUUCAAUUUUUUCAGUUAGGUAGGAGCACUCGAGACAUUGUUAUAGCAAUUAUUUUUCCAUAUUUUUUCGAUUCGGUUAUUUUAUCAAUUUAAAUAAAAAUUUGUCAUUUAUUCAAAAUAAACCCAAUAUUUUUCUAUUUUUCUGGUCCGCCCUUGUAGUAAUAUUGAGUGGACUUCAAAAUUGAUCUAGGUUUGGAGAUGAUAGGUUGAGCUUGAGAAGACCAAAAUUUUGUUUGGAAUAAAUUGGAUCAUCUGGGUUGGGUUAAGUGAAGGAAAACUGCAGCUGAUGGAUGGAUUAUAUAUGAAACACAGUACAAUAAAUUCUCGAUCUUCCACCGCUAGUUUUAAAUCGUCAGAAGAAAUGGCAUCAGAGAUGUGGUAUCGUCCAACGCACCACCCUAACAUGCCUAAAUUACAAACUACUAGUUCACAUGCCUAAAUUACAUCACAAAAGAAAUAGAAAUAAUAAAUAUACGAAAGGCCAUUAAUUACAAAGAAUAAUAUACAGAUUAUUUUCAUAUAUAUAUGAAAAUAUUUUCCAAUAUCCCCACAAAUUGGUGAUUUGGUUUCUUUGUACGGUUGAACCAUUCUUGCCCCAUGUAGCUUAAUGUUAGACCGUCAAAUCUUUUGUUAGGAUUCCAACCUACCCAGAGGUACUCAAGAAUAAACAGACAGCUCAAGAACAACUAAUUAUGAAAAAAUAUUGUUAGAACUGAUGUCCAAAAGAAUUGUUGUUCCGUGACAAACCACUGUUCUAAAAACAAUUACGGUACAACCAUGGUACUAAACACGAUGUCGGUUGCUUUUCAAGGUUAACACAACUCUUCAACUUAAACGUAUACUUGUUGGAAUAAGGAAUAGAAUCAAGAAGCUAAAUUAUGCCAAGGGAUGAAAGUUGAGAUGAACCGACGAUAAUAAAAGGAGAAAAAAAGAAACGACUAGAAUAAUCCUAUAGAUAUGAUAAACAAAAAACAAAAAGGAGAAUAAUCCUAUCACUAGAAACACACUUUACUUUUACAAUUAGCAUGCAGUGAUAUUUAUACCCUCUACGUAGUACUAAACAGUUCAAUGUGUGGGACAAAAAUCUGUCUUAUCCUUUACUUAUGGGCAUAAGUCCAUAAAUCAUUUCAAUAAAUGCCCGCCAAGUGACUAUUACAACAACGUUAAGAAGUAAACAAAAGAAAACAAAAGUUUUAAGAAAUCUAUUCUGAGCUAAGAUAGGAGAUCAAGAUUAUGCAUCAAUAUAUUGUAAUGAUUUGAAUUGAUUGGUAGUGUUGCAAGACGACUAACAGAGCGAGUGAGUUACAAAGCAAGAUCUCAAAAUUGGGCAGCGAUCCUUCUCAUGCGUUUAAAACACGGGACUCAACUACUAUCUUCCUUGGACUCACAAAUGUCUUCUCUUCAGCCUUGACCCGAAUUGGGGCUUCAACUUCCACUCUUAGACUCUGCCCAAUAAGCAAACCCAUGAGUCCCCAUUUUUCCUUCUUCAUUUCCAUUGACGUUGUUCUUCUGUAAUGAUUAUAGCAACCUUUGCUUAAUUCACCUCCUCUGCCCAUAUAUAAGAUAAUAAGUUUAACAACCCCUUUUAACUUAGCUUGCCCCAAAUGAAAAACUCUUCAAAUAUUAAUCCUAUAAAUCACUAUCUUUCUUAAAUGAAAGAGUGGGAUUCCAGCAAUUCAAGCCUAUAACCCAGCAUGUGGCUAUGGGCCCAUAAUUUAUUUGUCUUCCUUAAAGAGUAACAUUGAGUUUCUACAAAUUGUAGUCCAUAUUCAAGCCCAACAUCCUACUCAAUUUUUCCUUUCCAUAUUCCUCCUCCAAAGUAACGCUUGUCCUCCCUCCCAUUUACAUUUUACUAAGUAAUAACCCACCUUUGGCUGCAUCAAAAUAGAAUAAUGGGCUGUGUUGUGAUUCUGUGAAGUUAAAUUCAACUCUCCCGCAAGCCCUUCGCAUUUGUUAAAACAAUAAAAAAAUUAGUUGUUUUUGUUACUUUGAACUACUGUAACUGAUACUUGUUUGAGAGUGAGUUAUUUUGUUAAAAACAUAAACAAAAUAACAGUUUUAAUUCUUGUAGCUUAAAAAGGAAGCUUAGUAGAAAAAGUGAUGUAAGAAAAACUCAUCUGUAUUUUUUUGGCUUUUUGAAAACAUUUUCAUCUUAAAUAAUCUGUUGAAUAAAAGUGUGCUUGGAGACUUUGAAGAGUUCAUGUAAGCAAAUUUGUUGAACAAACCAUAGUUGUAUGUUCUUCUCAUUCUCUUCGUGCUCCAUUGAUCUUUGGAAGGCCAUUGUUGAAACUCUCAUCCAUCUUUUCUCUCUUGGUAACAUGCAAAACAAAAGGAAGAAAAUAAUUAAUAUACCUAAAGGUAGAGAACGUAGGUUUUGUAAUAAGGGUCAACCAUAAGAAUAUCAAUCUACAAUUUGUCAUUUAGAAAAAUAGCAAAACUGUUUUUUUUUUUCUUUUAAAAAAGGGCAAAACGAAUAAAAAUACAAUAAAUAGAAAUAUAAUCCAAAAUGCCCUUAGAUAUAUAGAAUGCCAGCUACUUUCUAAAGCUAAAAUAAAGUCUAAUUACACUAAUAAAUUCUCGAACAUAAUUAUCCUUACAUGUCCAAUCAAACUUAGAAUCCUUUUAAUCUUCACUUUCUAGCACUCUUGCAGUCAUCUUCAUUUUCCAUUUUCUUUUUCGAUAAUUAUUCAUAUCAAAGUCUUCAAGUUACAUAUUUAAUCUUCAAAUUACAAUUCCAUUAUUCCAUCUUCACCAAGCAGGCAAAACCUAAUCUCCACCCUCCAUUUUGCAAGUUACAAUUCCAUUUGAAGUACUUCAUCCUGCAUUUUUAUCUUCUUGUAUUUAAAACAUAAGAUUUUAUUAACUUCAUAUUUUUCACCAUCUUAAGGAAAAAUAUUUAAUUUAUAUUAGUAAUAUUUUAUAUAGAUUUUAGAGCGGUUUUAUCUAAAAAACGCAACAUUUUUGGGAUAUUUUGUUGGGAUAAAAAAAUAGAAUAAACCAAAAUUCAUUUAAAAAUCCUGAACAAUAGUGUUCUCUAAUAUUGAUUUGAGGUCAAGAUACCAUCCAUUCAAGGUUUGGGAAGUAUAUACUCUUAAGACAACAUUCAAAACGAGGUAUGGGCAAUAUGAGUUUUUAGUGAUGCCAUUCGAUUUAACAAAUGCACCUACAGUUUUCAUAGACCUCAUGAACAAUAUUUUCCAUCAUUAUUUAGAUUAGUUUGUGAUAGUGUUCAUUGAUGAUAUAUUAGUUUACUCAAUUGAUAGGAAAGUCCAUUAGGAAAAUAUGAGGAUUGUUCGAUAGACAUCACGUGAUAAAUAGUUGUAGGCUAAGUUCAACAAAUGUGAGUUCUGGUUGAAACAAGUAGUGCUCUUAGGGCAUGAAGUUUCAACAAACGAAGUUAGUGUUGAUUCGUAGAAAGUGAAAGAUGUUGUCAACUGAGAGAGACGAACUAGUGCAACAGAAGUACAUAGUUUCCUAGGCCUUGCAGGAUACUACAACCAUUUUAUUGAGGAUUUCUCACCAUUUGCAUUACUCUUAACAACUUUGACAAGAAGAAUGCUAAGUUUGAGUGGUCGGAUAAUAUGAGACUUUCCUUUGACAAAUAAUCUCAUCUCCACUAUGUUGAUCUUUUUUAGAUGAACUGUGAGCUUCCUCUGGUACAACAUCCAUAAGCUCACUAAUACUCGAAACACACAGUCUUCUUUUCUUAACUAUGACUUCAUAUAUUCUCAACUCAAACUCUACCUCUGAGCCUUACUUUCAUGACUUUCCAAGUAUAUUAUGUAAGUUACUAUCCUCUAGUUAUCUUCUCACAAUCUCUACUACUAGAGAAGACCUAACCUGAAAUUAAGCUACAAGACUCAUUGUACUCUCUACAGUCAUAGCCCUAUUAAAGCCUCUUAACUCACUUAUCAAACUUGCUCGAAUGCCAUACAAGGCACUCUUUGGAAGUCUAGACUUCAUAUUGAAUGCAUUUGCUACUAUGUUAUUCUAUGGUAUUCUAUGGUACAGUCACAACUUAUAAUCAGUUCUAGCCAUCACCUCUAUCUUAAAUUAAACUCUUUGAUCAAAGAUAUACUUCAGACUCUUACCGAUAUGUAAAAAUGUGGCACACUUCUCAUCGAAUAAAUAAUUUCUCUAGAUUUUCAUUGCUAAAACAACUAGUGCUAGCUCAAGAUCAUGGUUAGGGUAAUUAUAUUCAUUGUUCUUCAACUGUCUUGAAGCUUAGCUAUUAACUUCCCUUCCUACAUAAGGGUAUAACCUAAUCCUUGGGCUCGAGGCGUCACAAUAGAUCAUGUACUCCUUCUCUAUUUCAUGAAGUGUCAUAAUAGAUGCUAUGACUUGAAUCUCUAUCAAAACAAGGCAUCCUACCUGAUGAAACCAGUAAGAAGCUGUCUUUUUGUAAACAUUGUGUGUUAGGGUGAAAGCAAGAAAAAAAUACUUCUCCAAAGCCCAACACACUACUAAAGGAAUCCUUGACUUCAUCCAUUUGGAUCUAUGAAGACUAUCCUCAACUCCAAGCCUAGGUGGCUCAAGGUACAUUUUAUCCUUUACUGGUGAUUUCUUUAGAAAAAGUUGGAUUUAUUUUCGAAAAACUAAAAACGAAGUCUUGAAAAAAAAAAUUAAAAUGGAAAUUGAUGAGAGGAAAACAAAAAGAAAAAGAUAUUAAAUAUCCUAGAACCUAUGAUGGUUUGGAGUUUUGUGGAGAG